ACAUUGAAAAUUACAGCAAGAAAAUUGGCACAUGGCCUAACAAACCACACAUAAUUUCCCUCUCAAAAUCCCAUAAAAUCAGGAUCAUUUCCUCUUAAUUCUCCUCCUAACACAAUUCUCUCAAUUCACAAGAAUUUGCAACUGAUUCUAAAAAUAUCUUCACAACUUACACGCUUACAAAAAAAUCCUCACAUGCUCUCAAUGCUAAACCUAAACUAGCCUAUUUAAUCUAACACUAUGGACAAAGUAGAGCAACCACCAAUUCCCUAUUUCUGAGUUAUAAUUCCACACUGAGAAAAGUAAAUCCGCAACUUACAAAUCUAAAAAUCCUCACUAAAGCUCUCUUUGCAGCAACCAUUAGAGUUUCACCUUGAAGCUAUAAUUUUGUUUGAGCUUAGCCUCUUUUACCCUCUUCAGAACACAAUGCACAACAACAAAUGCAGAAUGAAUUCAUAGAAAGAAAAAGGCUUUAGAAAAAGAAGUUAAAAGAAGUGAAAAAGGAAGAAGCGGAAGAGAAAGAAAGGAAAAAAAAGCAUUGUUGGAAGUAGGUCGUCGUCAGAGCUUUCGCCGGAGAUGCUACUUUCUCCGAUUUGGUGGCUAUUUAUCAAUUUUCUUCAUGUUUUUACUUGAUUAUUGUUGUUGUAGGCUCGAGUUCCCCUUCCCCAUGUUAAUUCUUGUCGGAUGUCUGUAAAUCGAAACUAAAUAUUGAAUUGGGGUUUUGGAUAUUAUUGGUUGUUGUAAAUUUGAAGUUUACAUUCAUGUUUAGGAUGUAAAAAUAGGUAGGGUUGGUGUUUAAAAGUUUUUGAUUUGGGCUUAUUUUGGAGAUUUCUGGAAAUUGCUCAAGAACAAUCAAAUGUUAUUGAGCACAUUCAUGUGAUGUUCAUAGUGAUUCUGGGUUUGAAAGGCUUUUAAUCUAUUUUGUUUAUGGUGUAUGCAUGUGGUUUUGUUAGUAGAGAGA
RNAcentral lists this long non-coding RNA (958 nucleotides) under Lathyrus oleraceus (garden pea). RNAcentral's name for it is "Pisum sativum (pea) long non-coding RNA (PSAT_LNC019744)". Lineage: Eukaryota; Viridiplantae; Streptophyta; Magnoliopsida; Fabales; Fabaceae. The record is from RNAcentral.